RNAcentral lists this unclassified non-coding RNA (417 nucleotides) under Hevea brasiliensis (rubber tree). Lineage: Eukaryota; Viridiplantae; Streptophyta; Magnoliopsida; Malpighiales; Euphorbiaceae. The record is from RNAcentral.
AUUCUGCUUCAAAUUUUGACUCUACAAGUGAAGCCAAGAAUGAAAAAGAAGAGAUUGAAAAUGACGUAAAUCAUGACGAAGAGGAAGACAUGGGAGAAGAGGAAGAAGACGAAGAAGAGGAGAAGGUGGAGGAGGAGAAUGAUUAUGAAGAACAAGUGGGGAAAGUAAAUGUUGCAUCCAGCCGAGAAGAGGAAGAAAAUGUUGGGUACAUUGAAAAAGAAGCAGAAGAAAAUUAUUUGAAUGUUGAAGCUGAAAUGGGAAUGGAAAAUUUUCAAAGAUCAAGAAGGUGCAAAGAUAGUGAACUAGAGGAGAAAUUAUCAGGUACACCCUAUCCACAUGCACCAUCUCUCUCACAAUUACGUGGGACACAUUUUCUAUAUUAUAAGAAUGGUCCACUUUUUUGUGAGAGAGGGAGCA